RNAcentral lists this ribosomal RNA (469 nucleotides) under uncultured bacterium. Its description in RNAcentral is "partial 16S ribosomal RNA". It matches the Rfam family "Bacterial small subunit ribosomal RNA", at positions 28 to 507 of the family's 1533-position model. The record is from RNAcentral.
GACGAACGCUGGCGGCGUGCUUAACACAUGCAAGUCGAACGGAAAGGCCCUGCUUGCUGGGUGCUCGAGUGGCGAACGGGUGUGUAACACGCGGGUGAUCCGCCCCUUACUUUGGGAUAAGCCUUGGAAACUCGGUCUAAUACUCGAUAGGACCAUGCUGUAGGUGGUGUGGUGGAAAGAUUAGUUUCGGUAAGGGAUGAGCUCGCGGCCUAUCAGCUUGUUGGUGGGGUAAUGGCCUACCAAGGCGUCGACGCGUAGCCGGCCUCAGAGGGUGGCCGGCCACAUCGGGAAGAAGAUGAGAGGCAGACUCCUCCGGGAGGCGGAAGUGGGGAACAUUGCACCAUGGGCGCACGCGUGCUGCAGCGGCGCCGCGGGGGGGGGGACGGCCUUCGGGCUGUAGAGGCCUGGGAGCAGUGAUGAAGUGCAGUUGGUGACGGUAGUGGCAGAAGAAGCACCGGCUAACUACGUG